RNAcentral lists this long non-coding RNA (38461 nucleotides) under Ananas comosus (pineapple). RNAcentral's name for it is "long non-coding RNA (ACOM_LNC006436)". Lineage: Eukaryota; Viridiplantae; Streptophyta; Magnoliopsida; Poales; Bromeliaceae. The record is from RNAcentral.
UCUAUAAUAACUUUUUAAUUUAAUUAUAAUUCUACAACUCUUAAUUCCUAAAAAUCAUAAUUUUUUUUCACUAGUUUUUAUCAACCUUUCUUUACUACUAACAUAAUAAUAUUAAAAAAAGGUAUAUUACCAAUCCUUUACUUAAAAGGUUGUAUGCUGCAAGGCAACAACCUUUUAUUAGAUUAUAGACUUUGGCAUUUCUUCGGGUAAGAGAGAGGAAGCUGUUUCGUGUUAUAGGGACAGUGUCAUAGGGACAGAAGGGGCAUUUUGGAUAUAUAUAUAUAUAUAUAUAUAUAUAGAGAGAGAGAGAGAGAGAGAGAGAGUCUACUAUAUUCUUAUGAGUACAUAGUCCUACUUAUAAGCUGUUUUUGAUAAUGAAGCUUCUAAAUCGACAAUCCACUCUGUUAAAUAUGAUCUAUAGUAUUUGAAAUUUCUAAAAACUAAAUUUCGUAAUUUUUUAAAAUCAUAAUAAAAUCCAUUAAGUGAGAAUAAAAUAAACGGUUAAAAUCGAAUGAUAUCCUAAAGAUGAAUGAUCGAAUCCUUCAAUUUAAGAUUGGAAUUAUUGAUCUUUAUCUAGACAGUGAAUAAAAUUUUUUAUCAAAAAUUCAACAGAUUUCGAUUUUUUUACACAGUUAAACUAGUAAAUAUCUCAUACCAGCCGUUAAAAAUUAUCAAUUUUGAAAUCUUUUGAUCGCAAGAUAAAUAAUAUCAANGGGCCGUUGCAUCUGCGUGUAUCCGUAGGACCGCAAUACCCAUCUCACGGCUCACGUUAGUCAUCGGUGCGGCUCUAAUAAACGGGGGGAAAGAAUCGUACGGCAGGCAUGGUCCACCUCAAAAACGCGUGCGGAGUAAUCGAGGGGCACACAAAUCCACCGUCCAAUGAGCCUCCAAAUGAAAUCAGGAUCGUCAAUUGAUGGACGGUACGAUCAAAUUACCCGAGUGGUUAAAGCGAUGGUUGUGUUCCUAGUGAAGUCCGACAGUGUUUUUUUGUCGUUUUGUGACUUCGCUCUCUUAGCAUGUACGCUUUUACGCACAGCGAGUGCAGAAGAAAACAAGAGAAAAGACGGGAAAGAGUACAGAGAAAGGGAAAACCGGUACGGAGACGAAACAAGGGCGAUAAUUUCUCUGGGAAUUAGUAGAGAUGGCAAAAUUAGUGCGGAUAAAGAAACAAAGGACUUUGUGUGGAAAAUAUCAUCGCCACACACUGAAAAAUAAAAAAAAAUAAAGGAAAAGACAGGGAGGGUGGGGGGAGGGGGGGAAGGGGGAGUAAAAGAACUCUACUGGAGAUGUCCUUACAGAGUUGCAUUGCAUCUCUGGUAAAACAGAAUAGAUCCCCUCGAAAUUUCAACUCUAAGAUCCACAAAAGCAAGAGAACCUCAGAAAAAGGAAAACUAAUUGAAAUAUAUAACUAAUUGAUAUAUAUCACUGCUUAUAGUUGAUACUUAGACUGUGUGCUUAAUUAGCAUAUAUGCACCGAUCGCUAAAACAAACAUAACAGCUAACACAUCAAGAAGCAAAAAUCACCAAAUAAUUUCACAACAUCAGAUGCUUAAAAAAAAAAUAAAAAAAACCUACAACCAGUUAUACCAGUGCUUAAUUAGCAUAUAUUGAUCGAUGCGACUAAAAGCAACUAAUAUAUUAGCAACGAUCAGUAGAGCAAAUUUAAGAAUUAACACACGGAGAGCAGCUAAAAAAAUCGGUUGAUCUCACGAGAUCAUAACAAAUGCUGAGCAAUUAGGAGAUGUACCUUGAAUCCGACGCAGCGAAAACCGCAAUCGGAGAAGGAUUUCGAGAGGCCCAGAUCUGGUUCACGAAUCGCUUCCCGAAGCUUCCCGCGAUCGCUCGCCCCUUCGAAUUAGCGGCCAUGCAAAANAUAAACGGUUAAAAUCGAAUGAUAUCCUAAAGAUGAAUGAUCGAAUCCUUCAAUUUAAGAUUGGAAUUAUUGAUCUUUAUCUAGACAGUGAAUAAAAUUUUUUAUCAAAAAUUCAACAGAUUUCGAUUUUUUUACACAGUUAAACUAGUAAAUAUCUCAUACCAGCCGUUAAAAAUUAUCAAUUUUGAAAUCUUUUGAUCGCAAGAUAAAUAAUAUCAAAAAAUUAUAAAAUUUGAUUUCUAAAAAUUUUAAAUGCUCUAAAUAACGUUUAACGGUAUGGAUCGUCGAUUCGAAAGUUCUACCAUAAAAAACGACUUAUAAAUACAAAAACAAUCGUACUCAUAAGAAUAUAGUAGCCGAACUAUAUAUAUAUAUAUAUAUAUAUAUAUAUAUAUAGGUUUUGUGUGCUAUUAGGAGCAGCCGUUUUCGAUGAUGAAGCUUCCGAAUCGACGAUCGGCUCCGUUAGACUUGAUCUACCAUAUUUGAACUAUCUAAAAAAUAAAUUUUACGAUUUAUCGAUAUCAUUACCUACCGAUCGUAAAGGUUCAAAAUCAGAUAAAAUUUUAAUAGAAAAUUCUUUAUACUAUUUACAGCAAAUUUAAUAUUUCUGAUCGAAAAUUUUAAUACUAUAGCACCACUUUUUGUGAGAUUUUUAUUUUCAGCCGUUGUUUUUUAUUCCUUUCAAUCGUUAGGUAAAUAUUAUCGAAAAAUAACAAAAUUUAUUUUUUAGAUAUUUCAAAUACGCAAGAUCAAGUCUAACGGAAUCAAUCGUCGAUUCAGAAGCUUUAUCAUCGAAAACAGCUUAGGAACACUAAAGACCUCUGUACUCCUAAUAGCACUCAGAAGACCUUCUCUCUCUCUAUAUAUACAUAUAUAUAUAUAUAUAUAUAUAUAUAUAUAUAUAUAUUCGUCCGAUACCAUCGGGGCAGGCGCCAAGAACGUGACAGGAACUGGAAAUCGAGAUGGAUAAGAGCAAAUCUCACUCGUACGCGUGGCCUCCGAUGGAAAGGUUGGUGACUGACUACCAAACGAUCAGGGCCGUUGCAUCUGCGUGUAUCCGUAGGACCGCAAUACCCAUCUCACGGCUCACGUUAGUCAUCGGUGCGGCUCUAAUAAACGGGGGGAAAGAAUCGUACGGCAGGCAUGGUCCACCUCAAAAACGCGUGCGGAGUAAUCGAGGGGCACACAAAUCCACCGUCCAAUGAGCCUCCAAAUGAAAUCAGGAUCGUCAAUUGAUGGACGGUACGAUCAAAUUACCCGAGUGGUUAAAGCGAUGGUUGUGUUCCUAGUGAAGUCCGACAGUGUUUUUUUGUCGUUUUGUGACUUCGCUCUCUUAGCAUGUACGCUUUUACGCACAGCGAGUGCAGAAGAAAACAAGAGAAAAGACGGGAAAGAGUACAGAGAAAGGGAAAACCGGUACGGAGACGAAACAAGGGCGAUAAUUUCUCUGGGAAUUAGUAGAGAUGGCAAAAUUAGUGCGGAUAAAUAAAUAAAUAAAUAAAGAACUUUGUGUGGAAAAUAUCAUCGCCAGGCACUGAAAAAUAGGAAAAAUUAAGGGAAAAAAAAAAAAGAGGGGGAGAAGUCAAAAAAACUCUACCGAAGAUGUCCUUACAGAGUUGCAUUACAUCUCUGGUAAAACAGAAUAGAUCCUAUCGAAAUUUCAACUCUAAGAUCCACAAAAGCAAGAGAACCUCAGAAAAAGGAAAACUAAUUGAAAUAUAUAACUAAUUGAUAUAUAUCACUGCUUAUAGUUGAUACUUAGACUGUGGAAGCAAUCAUGGUAAUAGCACCGAUCGCUAAAACAAACGUAACAACUAACACAUCAAGAAGCAAAAAUCACCAACUAAUUUCACAACAUCAGAUGCUUAAAAAAAAAAAAAAAAAUCUCACAACUAGUUAUACCAGUGCUUAAUUAGCAUAUAUUGAUCGAUGCGACUAAAAGCAACUAAUAUAUUAGCAACGAUCAGUAGAGCAAAUCUAAGAAUUAACACACGGAGAGCAGCUAAAAAAAUCGGUUGAUCUCACGAGAUCAUAACAAAUGCUGAGCAAUUAGGAGAUGUACCUUGAAUCCGACGCAGCGAAAACCGCAAUCGGAGAAGGAUUUCGAGAGGCCCAGAUCUGGUUCACGAAUCGCUUCCCGAAGCUUCCCGCGAUCGCUCGCCCCUUCGAAUUAGCGGCCAUGCAAAUCAGCAAAUGAGAGGAGUGAAAAUAGGAGAGAGAGAGAGAGAGCGAAAAGAAAGGUAAAAACGAAGGGAAAGGGAUAGAGAAUGGACGGGCCCUUUUCCAUUGGUAGCACCAGCUAUUUAUAGCCUCGCCCGCACUCACUCCCACAGCCCACCAACCCGCCCCGUUUACUACGCCGUUAACGUUUUCAUUCCCUUCUAUUGACGGCGCUCCUAACGGCGUUAGAGCGGAGGCAAGCCACGUGAGUGGAGCGAAUAUUUUGGAGCAUAUUCUACAUACAGUCCGAAGCGUCCCUCCAGAUGCUGUUGGUCUCCUGCUAGUGCAUGAAAUUACCAAAACGCCCCGCGACGUUUGGUCUGGUCACUGACACGGUGAUAGUAGCCAAACUAACCGACAAAAAUAAUCUGUUAUACUUCUGGUAAAAAAAAAAAAAAAAAGUUAAAAUAUAGUGAAUUGCAGGAAUAUUCUUACAAAGUUCAAUUUUCAUAAAUUAUUUCUAUAAAAAUCUAAAUAUAUUUAGAUAUGUUCCUUUGAUUAGCAUCCGUUAGAAAACUGUUUAUUUUUUAACAGUAGAUUUGUGAAAUAACAUUUUUACCCUCACAAAUAUGUUUGUUCAAAAGCUCUAGCUGGUAUACUUUUGCAGAAAUGCCCUCACAAAUAUCCUUUUUUUUCUUUCUCUUCUUUUUUGGGCUACUGGAGCGGACGGCUCCGGCGACGUCACGGAGCUUGUCGGAGUUGUGGCCGACGAGGACGAGGUUGAGGCCCGCAGCGGCGAUGCGGAAGGCGAUGGUGCGGCUGAUUUGGAAGCGCUCGUGAUGACGGCCCCGCGAGCACGACGAUCACAUCAUCAACGACGACAAUAACGAAGAAGAAGAAAGAAGAGAAAAGGAGGAGAAAAAAGAGGAUACGAAGAAGAAGAAUAAGAAGAAGGAGGCAGCGGAAGUUGUUGUCCGGCAGCCGCCACACUUACCUCAGCCGAAGGCGCCGCUGGGGAUGGCGAGGUCAGCGCCGAUCUCUCACGAGGAGCACCACCCGAUCUUUCUUCUCCACCACGAUCGUUUGCCGCAUCUCCUUCCUCGCGAGCGACGGCGACGACGGCCACUCCGACAAGCAGAAGAGGGAGAGGAAGAUGAAGAGAAAGAGGAAGAAGAAGAAGAAAAAAAUUAUCAAUUCACCCUAUUAAUUAAUCAUGGUUAAAUAUUUUAACUGUGGUUAACUAAAUUUCUGUAACAGAUCCUAAUGGUAAGCACAUAUCUGAAUACAUUAAGAUUUUUGCUGGAAUAACUUAUGAAAGUUGAACUUUGCAGGGAUAUUUGUAAUUCAUCAUAUUUGUAGGGACCUAUAUAAAAUUAACCAAAAAAAAAAUGUCAUAGCUGUAAUCCCAGCUUCAGAGAUUGGAAGCAAUAAAAUAAAUUGGUAUUAUUUUAUGAUUAUUAUUACUAUUAUUAAAAACGAUUUCAAAGUCAGUAUAAGUUAAUGCCCGUCUAGUGUGGAGGGAAACUUGAUCUCAGGCUCUUAAUAGGGGACGUUUGGAUCUAAUGGAACUCAAAUGCUAUGUUAUUUAAAUUUUUUUAAAGUAUAAUUAUUUUCUAUUAUUUAUUUUAAUAUAACUCGUAUAGUGUUAAAUUUAAUUACCUUUUUCGUUUGUUUCGAUGUAAUUUGGUACUGAUAAAAUUAAUUUUUUGAGUUCUAUUGUUCAUUUUGAUACUUCUAUAAAAUUUAAUUUAUUAAAUAAUUAAAUUUUCGUUAUUGUUUGGAAGUAAACUUAACUUAUUGUAAAAAAAAAAAUAUCUCUAAUUCAUUUUAAAGGAAGUAGAGUUUAGAUUCUAAUAUUUAAUAAAUUUUUUAGUUAAAGUUGAGAGUAGUGAAACUUGAGUUCAGUACUUUAGAGAAAACAGUCAAAAGUAAGUAAAAUGAAGGUCUAACGUAAUUUAAAUUACAAUAUUUUUUAACUUGCACCAAAAGAAAUAUUAAAAUAAUGAAACUUAAGUUUCACCCCUCCAAUAAUCAAAUAGCCCUUUAAAUGAAAGUAAAAGAUACCUAUCAAACCGACUGUUCAUAACACAAAUAGUAAAGAGUUUAGUGGUUGGUAUUCGAGAUCCCAAAUUCGAAUACUAGUUAAUUAAUAUUUUCAGCUAAGUUUAUUAUUUAAAGAAAAUAAGCGCAACGGAUAGCAUGCUAUAUUUUUUUUAAAAAAAAACGACAAACUUUAUAUCAUUGUGGUUGAUUAGUUUAUCCUGCCAUUGGCAUCUAGCACGAAAAAAAGUUGUUCAUUUAUUGGUUUAUUAUGCAUUUGUUCUCCAUCGUAUUAUUUGCCCGUUAUAGACUAGCUACUUGAGUGCGGCAUUAGAAAAUUUGAAAUUUUUAAGUUGGUUUUCUUUGUCCUAGAAGUGGAAGAAUUUUAUUUCGAGUGCUUUAACUUUAGAAAACUUUUUUUUUUUUUCUUGUUGUAAUGCAAUCUCCUAUCUUUUGUAUUAUUAAAAAUUUCUUUUGGGAUGACUAUUGCCAUAUAUAGAGGAAUAUUGACUAAACUAAUAUUCGAUAUUGCGUGAAGAAAGGCCAGUGAAUAGUGGUACGUUUUUGUCGAGCUUGCAACAUGACAAUUACUUUAUCUUUCUAAGUUAACCUUAAACUUAUACAUCUUCUUUAGGAUAUGUGUUGCAUCGAUGCUCAAAUUUGCGUAAUCCAUAUGGAAUUGGAUAUGAUAUUCUACUAUAAAUAUUAUUUUCUCAUCAAUUACCACUAAAAUCAAGACUUGCAUCUUUGAAGAGAACUGUUAGAGAAAGUCCCAAUAAUUUAUUCUUUAUAAGCAUUCUUCUAUUUGCACUAGAUUUUUGAAAAUUUAUAUUUUUUUAAUUUGCAUGUUCUGAAUUUUCUCACUGCUAUAAAAUAACGGAGAAAAAAUAAAAAAAUUAUGUUAUAAUUAGUUCUAAAAUUUUCCCCCCCUUUCCUUAAAACUCAACUAUUAGGUCAUUUCCUAAAUUAUGUCAGCAAUUCCCAGAAAAGUCAAGAGUCGGUGGCAAGAGAAUUUGUUCGGAUAAGAAUUAAAUAAUUGCUCACGAAAAUGUAAUUGUCGUCUCCAUUAAAUUAAGUUGUUCGCCUAUGACUACUCUUCUAUUAUCUUCUCAGUACGUACUCCCUAGCUUUGUACUAAGAGGAGUACUUCUAUAUAGCUUUCUAAUGUUAUUUUAGCUAAAAAGAUUAAAAAAACAAAAUAGCAGUGCAUUAUUUAAAUUAUUGUCGAUUAGUUAGAUUUCAUGGUAUAGCGUGGUUCAUCUUAUACACCAUUAUAUAAUUUUUUUCUUUUGAAUUUGGCAUUCAGGUUGGAGGAAAGAUUGUGUCUUUUCAUUAAAAUUUAUAAACAGUUUUCUAGUUUUAUUUUUUAUCUAUUAUUUUUUGUUCAAAGGAAGCAUUAAAGUAAGACUACAAAGACAACUCGGAAAGCGCCGCGAAGCUUCCUCGGCGUCAUUUCAAUUCCCAGAUGUUAACUUUGAAUGAAGUUCCUGUCACUGUCGAACACUUACAAUUCAAUGGGAGAUAUUUUUGGCCCACUCUAUAGCUUUGAUCAUUAAAAGUUGAUAUAAUCAACUGUAAUUAACUUGAGCAUCCUCCACAUGUCAUAGUUUGAUAGGCAUUUAAUACCAUAUAUUGUCUAAGAGUUGAUUAAUAUGGAUUAGCCACCGCUAAAACGACAUUUAACAGUAAAUCAGCAACGUCGGUGGUUAUUAAUUAAUAGCAAUGAUAAAGUUCGUGGUUUAAAAAACGAAAAUUUUCAUUAGAUGAAAUAUUUAUAGAGGCUUCAAAUGGAAGUACCUACUUGGUGUAAUAGGAAAUAUAAAAAUACAAAUUAAUUAAAAAUAAAAGGAAAAAAUUUUAAAGAUUUCACACAGAAUUUCGAAUCUACUAGGGUGAAAAACAAAAUCAGUUUAGAUGCUACCUGUCUUUAUCCCACUUUUGGAAAGGCCCACUAAGGAAGGCAAGCGGCUCCUUUGUUCUUAAAAAAAAGGGGUAAUUGAUACUCCUGAAAAUAUUUCGAUUUUUUAAUUUAUCUUUUUUAAAAAAUUAAUAUUAAAAAUAUUAUUUUUAUAUUCAAGUUAUUUUAAAUAUAUCUCUAGGGUUAAAUUUUGUUAGUGAACUGUUAUCAAUAACCAUUAUUUCUGUGAAAUUGUUAUUUUAUCCUUUCAAAUAUACUUUCUUUUUGAGAGAUAGGUAGCACGCUACCAGCUUCGUUUAUUUCAUUAAGAAAUAAACUUAGCUGAAAAUGUGAAUCAACUAGGAUUCGAAUUUGGGUGUCGGAUACCAACCACCAAGCACUUUGCCACUUGCUCUAGGGACGGUCGGUCUUUCAAAUAUACUUUCUAUCGUCACCAACUUUUCUUAUUUGCCAUUCAGUUAGGAAAAAAAAAGUAUUUUAAUUUUUAAUCUUUUCAAAUAUACUUUUCUACUAUCACCAACUUGUCUUAUUUGCCCUUAAGUUAAAGACAAAAGAGAUAUAUAUAUAUUUUUUAACUCUGUUAGAUAUUUAACUCACGUUUAAUCUGAAAUAACUUAACGGGUAGUAACUGCAGGGGCAUUUUGAAUAACAGAGAAAUAUAUGAGGGAUAUAUUAAAAACCAAAAAAAGGAGUAAAUUAGAUAUUUUUGAAAUUUUGAGAGGUAUAUGGACAAUUAUCCUUUCUUAAAAAUAUUAUGAAAAAAAUCUUUUAAGAAAAAUAUUUUUGUGAUUUUCUUUUUCAAUUUUUUGUCCUUCUAGUUCUUAAAAAAAUAUUUUUUUCAUAUUUUAUGAGAAAUUAGUGUUUUUGUUUUUCAAAAAAAGGUUCAAAAAACAAAAACAAUAAUUUUCCGUAAAAUCUAGAAAAAUGUUAUAAAUUUUUUUUUCCUUUUUUAAAUUAAAUGCGCUAAAAAAAAAUUCAUAAAAAACAAUCUUUUCCAUGCAUUUCCUAGGAACGAAGCAGCACUUAGAAAGCUCUAUUAUUUAAUCUCAUCCAAAAUGAAACUUUGUUGACAGAUUGGAGGUUUUUUUUUUUUUUUUUGAGAGAAUGACAUGCUACCCGCUUCGUUUAUUUCGUUUAAAAAUAACAAAACUGGAAAUGUGAAUCAGCUAGGAUUCAAACUUGGGUCUCGAAUAUCAACAACCAAACUUUUUUGCCACUUACGUUAGGAACAGUCGGUUGCCAGAUUGGAGUUAAAAGUAAAAAAGUGCAAUAAAGUCUAAAAAUAACGACUUCCGUUCAGAGCCUUCUGUUUUGCUGAUGUUUGGAUGGAUUGCCAUAAACCAUAAACUCCAAUUGGUACUGCUGAAAUAUUCUUUAUAGACAAAUACUAUACCCUACUGUAGAACUAAAACUUUUUUUCAUUCUCACAAGACAACCCAUGUUCAAGAACAAGAAUAGACAAAAAGCUAAAAAAUCUAAGGUAUCGUUUAGUUUAGAGAUAAGUAAAAAAUAGUUAUUCUAGGGAUAAGUAUAAAUUGAGGUAUAAGUCAAGAUUAAAUUAAUUUUAUGUUUAAUUGAAAAUUGGGUUAUUUCUAGGAAUAAAAAAAAUAACGUUUGGUUAAGUAAGAUGGAAUAAGAAUUAAAGUGGAUAGUUAUAAAUAAAAAAUAAUGAUAUUAUCCCUAUCCUAAUAUUUGAAUUUGAAUUUUUAAAUUAUAUAUAUAUAUAUAUUUUGAAAUCUAAAAUUUUAAUUUUUAAAUUUCAAAAUUUCAAAUUAAAUUUUAAAAUUUAAAAUCUCAAAAUUUAAAUUCAAAAUUUUAAAUUUUAAAUUUUAAAUUUCAAACUUUAAAUUUAAGAUCAAAUUUAAAUUUAAAAAAUAUAAAAUAUCAAAUUUUAACAUUUAAAAAUUUAAAAUAUCAAAUUUAAAAUUUAAAAUUUAAAAUUUUGAAAAUAAAAAUAGGGGUGGAACAAUUAAUAAAAAUAAUUUAUUAUAAUAAAUUUAUAAAUUUGAUAAUAAUAAUUUUUUUAAUAAAUUUAUAAAUUUUUUAUUAUUAAUAAUUAAUAUUUUUUAAAAUUCUACUUAAGCUUAAAUUUAAUAAAAAAAAUUUUUAUAAUAUUUAAAUAUAAUUUAUUAUUAAAUUUAUUAUAAUAUUUAAUAUUUAAAUAUAAAAUAAUAUGGAUUAAUAUAGGAUAUUAAUAAUUAAUAAUAAAAUAAUAUAUUAUAUAUAUACUAUUAUAUUUAUAUAAUUUAGUUUUAAUUUAAUUUAUAUUUUUAAUAAAUUUGAAAUUAAAAUUUGGAAUAGCACUAUUCCAUCAAAAUAAUUCCUUACUAUCCGGAAUAGUCGGGAAUAACAAAAUUUGACUAGAUAAAAUAUUCCGGCCAAAAAUUAUUUCGUUUGGCGAAUAGCGGAGUAACAUUCGUUAUUUCCGCUUAUACCGCAACCAAACGGGCCUAAGAAAAUGUUCACGGAAUUAGAUUAGUUUUUCAUCCCAGAAUAUAUUUGUGACGUGAGAGAUUGCACAGAUUAAUGGUCAAAUCUAGAAAACUAUACAAGAAAUAUAUAAUGUAAUUGCGUCCCAUGAAUCAGAUUGGUCCCACUGCUGGGCCCAAAUCUACACAGCGUGCGUGGCGUGGCGGGUGGGAUGUGUUCGGAGAUUGACCCAUUGAGUUGUGUUGGACAUAAAAGAUGAUAAGUUAGGAAUUAAAUGGCCGUGCCGGACCGUAUGACGGGGAGUACUUAUCCUAGUUAGUAAAUUUGCGAAUAAUACGUAAAUUAUUCGUAAAUUUUUUAAUAGCCGAAUUAAACGCACUAAACGUAUUUUGUUUCCAAAAGUGCGAAAAAAAAAGCGUUUUUAUCUCCAAAAAUAAUUAUCAGUGAAUAUUCGCGAUUUCCAAUAAUUCGCUCAAAAAUCGGCGGCGACGCUCGCGUUGUCGUCCUCCUCCGCCGCCGCCCUAUGCCGGCGCCGGAGCAAGAGGGCUGCAGCUACGGUUCCUGCCUCACCCGACGCAUCCUUUUCGCCAAAAAAACGACCUGGCCAGUCGGCGACGCUCGUCGUCGUCCUCUCCUCCGCGCCGCCCUGGCCGAUGCGCGGAGCAAGAGGGCCGCGGCUACGGUUCCAUCUCGCCCGACGCCGUCUGCGACUCCUCGUGCGUCCGCAGAAAAAAAAAAUGAAUAGAAAAAAAUCACGGCGUUUGCGCGCGGUCUCGCAGGAAAGACAAUGCCGCGGUCCACGAGCGCCAUUGGCCUCGGUGGACCGGAUGACGUGGCUCCUCUCAUUAUAUAUAUAUAUAUAUAUAUAUAUUAUAUAUUAUAUAUAUAUAUAUUUUAUUUAUUAAUAUUUUAAAUAAUAUUAUAAUAUUAUUAUCAUAAUUUUAAUAUAUAUAAUUAUUAAAAAUUAUAAAUAAUAAUAUAUAUAUAGUAUAUUAAUUUUAUAUAGCCGAAUUUUUUAUUCCGAAUUUUUAAUGAUAAACGUAUAUUACCCGUAUAAAUCACGUUAUCCGAAUAAUUACCGAAUCCGUUUUUUAGUCGUAUUUUUCAACGAAUUUAAAAAUUAGAAGACGAAUUUUAUCGAAAUUAUAUCCGUACCGAAUUUGCCGAAUCCGAAUUAACUAACUAUGGUACUUACUCGACCCGAGAUGUCACCGCCCUUUAACUAACUAUGGACUUACUUCGACGAGAUGUCACCGUCCUCUCGCGUGCGCAUAUUGUUACGACCUAUAUUAAGACCUGGGAGAGGCUCCAUUGCCAUAUAUAUUUCCCUGAGAAUUUUAUUUUGCUUUUGAUCAUUGAUGAGAUCACUCACGAGUUCAAAUUUUUAUGAAAGUAUGGGGUUUAAAAUAUUCUUUGGCAUUAUUUAGUUUUUUAAUGCCUUUUAAUUAGGCUCUUUUGAUUGAUGUUGCCUUUUUUUAAAAAUUAAUUUUAAACACUAAUUAUACAUAGUUAAAAAUUAACCAUAAAGAUUCGCUUAAUUGCAAUGAAUUCUAACUAAAUAAUGAGUAAUAAUUUAUUGAAAAAAAUUAUAAAAAUAAAAAAUAUUUUUAUUUUUUUUUUAUGUCAAAGUAUCAAACAAUACUUGUAUGUAAGAAUUGCGAUGCAAUUUGUCAUCCCUUCUGCACAUAAAUUAUAUGUAGAUUUAUAUUUUGAAAAAAUUAAAGAAAUAGUAGCGACGUCUACGAGGCGUUAAAAUUUUGUUAAUGCACGUGAUUCGAUGAAAUGUUUCAGGCGUAUGCCUCACAUGAAAUAUCUGUCUGCGAGAGAAAACCCUUCUUCCUCUGCGGCAUGCCAACUAAAGCAUGGGCACGAAGAGAACCAAAAAAAAAAAAAAAAAAAAAAAAAAGGAAAAGAAAAAGAAAAAGACCACCAAGUCAUCAAACAAAGAUCUAAAUGGGCCGGGCCCGGCCCGACCUUCAUUCCUCUUUGAAACCCCGCUUAGGACAUGAUCCGGCCCGCAAAAAGAAGGGCGUAAAAUCAAAAUGGGCCGGGCGCAGAGUCUUCAUCUUAAACCCUUCCCCGUUUCUCUCUCGCUCGCCAACUCCGACACGUCAAACCCUUUCACGGGGCGGCCGCCACCCUCCUCCGCCACGGCGCCUCGUUCCAUUCCAGGUAGAAAACUUCAAAGCAUAACAAAAUAAAAUUUGGUUUACAUACUAGUUCUAAAUAAUCACAAAUUAUUAUUCUUUUGAUUUCGAUAUUAAGAGGUAGAGCGGGAAUUACUUGUUGUGCAAGUAUAUAUUUAUGUAUAUCUUUUGAUGAUACGAACCCUAAUUCAAAUCAAUUCACAGAUUUGCAGCUACCAGGUAGAAACCUGCUUUGAUCAUCAAUUGGACGCUCUUCAAAUUUGUCGCAUAUAGAAAAAGAGAAAGGUAAAGUUACUAUAUAAUCAUGUAUUCAUAUGUUACGCGCGUUUGGGGCAAUUCAACAAAUAUCUUAAGAGCGUAAAAUUUAGAGUGUAAGUGCUUUCCAUGAGAGAUCACUUGAUAAAUUAUAGUUAGAAGCUGUUAAUUAGCAUGUUCGAAAUUAUUUGUUGUAGUUAAUAUGAUAUAGUAAGGUAGUGUUUGGUUCGGGAACAAGGGAGAGAAUAAGCCCUUGUUCCCCCCUUUGUUCCCAAACGCAGCGUUUGGUAACCGAGAACAGUAGUUUUCGGAUUUUUGGAACUAGCUGGUAUAAGACUGGAACUAGCUGGAAUUGUUGUUCUACCUUUUUCCUGGAACAAGCUUGUUCCCGAAUGAGAACAAGAUUAAUUAAAUAUAAAUUUAAAAUUUAAUGAUAGUAAACUAUUAAUUAAUCUAAUUAAUAUAUUUGAAUUAUUAUCUAUUGCUUAAAUAAUAAAAUAAAUAAAUAAAUAAUGAAUUAUAAUUAAUUAUUUAUAAUUAGAUAAUAAUAAUUAUUAAUUUAAUAAUUAUUAUUUAUUAAUAAUUAUUAAUUAAAUAAUUAUUAUUAAUAAUUAUUAUUCUUAAGAAAUAGAUAAUCGAUAUUAUUAUUAAUUUAUUAUUUAUAAUUAAUUAUUAAUAAUUAGAUAAUUAUUAUUAAUUAAUUUAUUACUUAUAAUUAAUUAUUAAUAAUUUUACUUAUAAUAAUUAAUAUAAGUAAUAAUGUUAAAAAAUAAUUAAUUAAUUAAUUAAGUAAUAAUUAUUAAAAAAAUUCAUAUAACUAAUUAAGUUACUCAUUAAAGGAAAAAAAAGAGGAGGACCGUAAUAAAGAAAGCCAGGAAAGGAAGUAUUAUUACUUAUAAAAUAGAAAUAUAAAAAUAAGUAUAAUUAAUUAAAUUAAGUGAAAUAGUUAAAUUAAUAAUUAUGAAUGUGAGUAGGGGUAGGGGAUUGUUGAGUUUAUCUAAUUUAUUAUUAUUUAUUUCUUAACUUAUAUUUGAAUGUAUAAUAUAUCUAAGAUAAUAUAAUGUUAAUUUCAAAUUAUAACUUUUGAUUCCUUCUAUUCAUUUAACCCAUCCAAUUGAGAACGCUAUUUACCUUAUUCCUAGUAACAACCAUGUCAUCGCAAACAGGUAAAAUUGGCUCUACGUUCCUCGCUUAUACCUGAAGCUUCGUACCUAUCCUAUGCCGGAACAACAUUCUACGUAUACCAUGAAGCUCAAACCAGCCUAAAUACGAGCCUCAUUAUAAUGAGGACAUAAUAAGAUGUAAAUAUCAUAUUAUCAUGUCUUUUCUACUAACUCUGUUUUUCUUUUAUAUUAAUUUCUAAUUUUUUGUCGGAAUCAAUUAGUGUACCUAACAAUUUUAUGGAUAAUGAGUGGCCCUCAAAUAAUCCUCAUCGUAUCAGGUUCUGUUACACGAAAUCGAUAAUCCUUAUGAUAUCAAGUCUCUUUCGUCUCUUCUUCCAUCCUGAACUAACUUUAGUAUAAUUGGAACUACGAUUUUAACAAUAGUGUAACUAAUAUAUAGACCUUAGUAUCUACAACCGUUGGCAUGGUAGUGCCUCAGAGCACCAAUUGAAUGAUUCAUUCAUAAUAGCAUGAUGUACUUUAUCUUGACAAUUGAUGGUUUAAACGAACACGUAACGGAUUGCAAUAUUUUCUAGUUGAAGUCAUUUGAUGGGAAAACAUGCUGAGUGUUUAUUUUCAUCUUAUUCUAUACCGGCAUGUGGUUAAGAGAUCGGGGCUAAAAUAUAACACACUUAUUGUGACGCAAUUGAUUACGGUGACGUACAGACGUUACAAUUAUAUCUGUCAAAAUAUACACUGCAACUAUACUACCGAUGUGUUAUUGAAUAGACCUAAGUUCAUUAUUAUGCGAUAUUUUUAUUCCAAGCUAGCAUAUUAGUGUAAGCGCUCCAAAUUUCCACAUCGUAUCGGAUCUUGAUGCUCCGAUUACUGUAAUAUAACUAGCCCUACACCUAUUAAUAAUAAAUGUCGUUAAGUAUUUUGGACUGGUUGUUGGGGCGUCCAACAAGUUAUUACGCUGCAGGUUUGGUUUUUUACAAUUUUGUAAUCAAACGACCGAAUAACCACCGGAAGUGAGAAGAUAAGUGCUAUCGGGGACACCAAUACUACACCAACCGUUGGGGAGCCACGUCUCUUGAAACCGUAGAAGCACCUCUAGAAUCUCACAUGUUGUCUGAAUACUGUUCGCUGAUGACCGGUUUGUAUCUGUGAUCUGGUUGGACCGACGCUGGACUCAUGGUCUAAACAGGGUCGGAGUUUUGUAACGCUCCCCAAAAUCCCACCAAUCGAUGAACCUGAUGCCACGUCCGGGUCCAAAUAGGCGAGAGUUUGGGACCUCGAAUGUCCGGCACAUCGUCAUGGAUAUCUGAUUCCUCGAUCGUUUUAUAAUGAGACUCCUUACAUCCGCUAUUAAUCAAUAAAUGGCUUAACGCAUUUUUGCCGAUUUUUGGGCCCCACGAGUUAUUAUUUCUAAGCCACGCCGGUUCGUAUACACCUUUGGUAUAUACAGCCGAAUACCAGCACGGACAGUCGUUGAGAGCUAAUGUUAAUCGCGACAAACUGCUACACGUAACGAUUGGUGAAAGGCACCUCUUUGAACCCAUAAAGUAGCCAGCCGGGCAGGAGCCACACUUCUAGAACUCACCAUCCCUGAUAAUACGGUUCUUGUCCUGCUGACCUGGUUGAUUCUCGACGAGUAAGUCAGGUCUAAACGGUGGUUUGUAACUCUCCCAGAUGAGUUCCACAAUCGAUAGAUACUGAUUCUCGAUUAUUAUACUAUAUGCCGUAUCACCUAGUAGAGAGAAUGCAGUUAAGCCAUUUUGGGCUGACUGGGUUUUGGCCCAAACGAGUUAUUAUCUGCUGGCGGGUCGAUUCGCUACAUAUUAGUCGAAUGCGGAAAGGUUUAGUCGGGUCCCUCGCUUGGCACGAUUCGUGUCCGUCCUACGCUUAUUUGGCGACCCCGCGAUUUGUUGUGGCCCUGUGCUUACCUGAUCUGCUUCCGACUGUUGUAGCGGUCCUGUUCUCUGUCCGAUAAUUAUUCGAUAGCAUAAAACUUCCGCUUCUUAGCAAAUUUUUCUAUUUAAAUUUUGCCGUAUUUUAGCCACGAAUUAGUGUUUACAUUCCUUUCCCUACAUCAAAGAAGGAGCAAAGUGAUUGCACCGAAUUGAGCCUUAGGCUGUGGAGAUGUUAGUGUGAAUGGAAGUAGAUAUAAAGACUCUUGUGCGUCACAUUUGCAAAACGCGGCAAAUGAGAAUCUGCCUUCAUAGUACCAAUUAUGUGUUUGCCCAUAUGUACCGGAAAGAACAUAAGAUAUAACAUCAUAGAUCAGCAAGCUAUGACGGAGGGACAGAUAUUUUCGUGUAGUUGCUAUCUCAUACUUCAGUCACUAAGCUUUUACUACUGACAUGUUUACAUGAAAAGUUCUUUCAGGCGGCGACUCAAUAGGACUAUGGGUACCGGUAUGCAGAUUUUCCCCCUUUUCAUAUAAAUUUCAUGCCUGAAAUUGGUUGUAACGGAUUUGUCUAUACUAUCCGAAAGCCUCACACAAAAUUCGAGACGCCCUUCGGUCAAAAGCUAUUUGUUGAUACAGGCACUAUAUGAGGCUACGUUCUUUGACCAAUACUUGUCUAAGCUUUCAUUGUUUGCUCGUCGAACUCAAUAUAAUCAAUUCACUUAAGAUCCUUAAUCGCACCUAGUACGUAGACAAAGGCAGUGACCUACGUCAUCGAAUAGUUAUUUACUAUUCAUUACAUAUAUGAUUCUCUUCUGUUUAAUGCCGCCCGAUGUUUAAGCACUACUAUCGUAACUCUUGUGGUCUAUGAUCCCACCUUAUUGAUUCUUCUUUCUGUCAGAGAGAAUCCGAAACAAACCAGAAGGUAAAGCGUAGCGUCAAUCAAGUGAACCUGUUAUUAUAUAAGGCAGAAGAUGAAUUAGUUCAUGAGGUAUAAUUGAAUUAACUACUAAUCUUGGAUAUAUAGCUAACUCUGUAUAUAUAUACUGACAUAUAACGUUGAAUAUAUGCUACUCUCUAAGUUUGAUUAUUUUUUAAGGCACUAUUUAUAGUUACCGACUUCCUCAUUCCAGACUCAGAAGUUUUACUUUUCUAGUUUCAUCCGCUGUGAGCACCCUUGUUCCAGACAACAGUAAUUUGCUAAUGUAGUUAUUUAAGUAUGCCAAUACUUGCUCUUUGUCUUAAUUACUCCCUGUUUUAUGUCCUUUUUUUCUAUUAUUAACCCAGAUUGGAUAAAUUAGAACCAUUAUAAAAUUUGAACUUUUGCGUCCCAUUGGAGUUUUCACAGCUUGUCUACAUAUUGUGUGUAAGUUGAUCUUUAUUUCCGAAUGUGAAUGAAGCAAAUUGAGUGGACAACCCAGAGCCUUUGCCUUCUAAGAGCACCUAGCAAUAGCCUUGAUAGCGAUUAGAUCCGUCCCUUUCUAAACUUUCACCCUGUUCGAUCUUCGCCAUGAUUCCACGGAGGUGUGCUUCCAUAUCACGUGCUUGUUGUGCCUAUUCAUUGAUUCCAAUCUGUCACUCAUGGUAAUUUGCGAUGCAUGUCCAACAGCUGAAAAGAGUGAUACCUUGGUCUUUUGUUCUUAAGCUGUAGAAGAGCAUCGCUCUUUAAAUUAAAAGAUGACUAACAUUGAAAAAGCCAAACAAAAUUGUAUCUUCUAAACAAGCUUUGUGAGUUCGUCCUAAAAUGAAAAUUGGGAAUUUUAAUGUGAAAGGGAUCAUAUCACGUCGCUGGUACAAAUGUAAUUUUCGGCUAUAGAACUAUUGUCCGUUCAGCUUUUUUACUAUAUAUUCUAUGACUAAGAAUCCUUAAUGCCUAUGAGCAAUUGCUUUCACAAUUUUAGAAAGGAUCUUUUGGCAAGAUACAUGCAAUUAUUAUUUUGCACAAAACGUCGCUAGAUAACUAUCUAGAAUGCUACAUGGUUAUUUGUCAUACCGUAUUCGAACACUUUUACAUAUUAUAAAAAGUUGUCUCACAGAAUUCCCAUCUCGAAAUAAAAUGAUGCAGCGGAGAUUGUAGCAGUCUGUUUAUAUGGUGAGUCGAAUAGCAUUGCGCGGCCUGCUAGCUUAACUUAUUGUCCGUCAUUGAAAGGAUGCUUAUACUGCUGGCCAUAUUUUUCCCUUCACUUGUGAUUAAUUUUAGUUGCUCAAAAGUUAUCAAGAAAGCACUGCAGUUAAAAUAUGCUGUAUUGAUAUAUUUCCAGUUCAUUUUUGUAAUGACUUGAAUAGUACUUAUCUUGAUUUUCAUUUGCAUCAACAACUGUACCAUAUUUCUUUUUUGUCAGUUGAAGAACUAUAUCCAAAAAAAAAAUUGGUCAAGUUGGUUGUUAAAGCUGACAGAUGUCUCCAAAGCUUUCGAGAAAAGUUAAAAAUCUUAGUAGCUGCUCGAAUUCAUGAUGCUUCAGCAUGAUAAUUUGGUGUAAAUAUAGUUGUUUUAUAGUUCGAGUAGUGUUGCCACUUAUUGUAGUUGAAUAUCAAACCAUUUUUCAUUGUUCAGCUUUUGCACAAACAUACAUUCACUAAGGUGAAAUUCCUUUCAAUUGUGGCAGACAGGACAAAUUUGUGUGUGGAAUAUCCCUGACAAGUAAGAUUUAGUUGCAAAGAUAGGGUGGAACGCAAAAUACUUUUGGCAUUUCCAUCUCCCUUCUUUUGUUAUUGUAAGUUGCAGGAUUGCCAAAUCUAUUUUACUUGUAGUUAGAGCUUAAACAGAAAAAUGCAUGACAAUCGUAAGAUGAUCGUGCCCUCGUUAUAUCCACAUUUAUGGGAAUUGGCACAUUAAUGUCUAUAGGCUAUCUCUGCAAAAUAAUUUCUAUCACUUUUGUACAUAACAAAAUGCUUAAUGGUACACCUUUUCUAAUUUCCAUAUCUAUUCUUCGAAUAUGAUACUUUUGCAAGUCCAGAAUGCACUAGAAUUCUCAAGAUAACCGAGUAGUUUUUAUCCAUGUUGAUUGUACUCUAUAUGAGUACGAGUACAUCCUUGUUAGAAGCAUGCCCUUUUUUCUAUUGGAUAUCUGCGAAUUCCUCUUAUUAGCGUGUUUAGAUAAUCAGAGUAAAUAUUUAAUGAUAUCUUAUUCCGUAAAAUCUUAUCACUGAAACUAGAGUAUGGUAUAAUCGAAUAUAGAUAUAUUCGAGCCUUCACAAUAAUUUUUUGACAUAAAAAAUUAUCUGUAAAUGAAUAUAUAUGCUACAAUAUUUGAUUCAAGAAUUUUUAAAGUCGAUAGAUGUGUCGGGAUCAAACACUUCAAGGUCCUCUUCCGAUGUGUAUAGCGGAGCGAAUACAAAAACGAGCCCCCAGAGUUAAAAGGAGUGUCGUUGAAAAGAGGAGUGAAUUGUAUAGGAUUCUGGAGAGGCUCUGGGUAUGCCCGCCCUAGCCCCUCUAUCUCGCGCUCAAGCGAGUGUUAGCAGUUUCCAAAGGCACAGGUUGACACGAUAGGGGAGAUGGCGGGAUGCACAGUUCUCCUUCCUCAUUUAAAUCGACCUAUAGAAUCUAAAAUCGGCGGUACGUGGACCGAAGUGUCAACAAGAUAUGGAGGCUCCGAAUACGGACUUAAGUCUAAAGUAUAUCUGUUGAGCUAUUUCUUAUAAAAAAAACUUCCCUACCAGCUGAAUCCUUGUAAGAUAGAGGAAGGACCGGGGACAUUGCCGUGUAUUGUGGCAGGCAUACAUGCCGAUCAGUGACAUCUAUCACGCUGUAAUCAGCAUUGCCUUAAUGUUUUUAUGGAAUAGGCCCUUGAGACGUCCAGCGGAAUUGUUGACGAUUGUGCACGUAGCUCUUGAAUAGGUGGAAGGGGGGGAACGGGGGCAGAAAGAACAAAGGGACUAGCCGAUUAGCUGCAUGCUGAUAAGCAUAUGAAAGUCGGAACCCCACCUUAUCUUUCGGAACAUCCCAUGGAAUCCGUGCUAGAGUGCAAGGCCUCAGCAGCUUAUCAUUUCUUGGAAAGAAUCUCUAUAUUUUUUUUUUUUCCUUGUACGUUCAGGUUUUUCCGUGUUUUCCGAUAGCCCUGCUGCCUUCAUCCUUGUAGUACUAAUUCAUACUUUUAAUGAAUGAAAGCAAGUAGCGUUCUACUAUCUCUCUAAACAAAAAAAGAAAACAGCCUUUCGCCCUUCUAUUUAUAUAAAAAAUUUUAUACCGAAAAAAUUAUAUAACAUAACUUCUUUGGCCAUCAAAUUAAUUUAUUGUCUAACUGUUUUGUUCGGAUCACGGCUGUAUGAUUAGAAUUUUAAAUAAACUAUAAACUUGAUGGUCACUCAAUCAAACUCUACAGUCUAUAUCGAAUGAGUGGAGAUUCUUGGAUUGAAUGGAAUCGAUUAGUUAAUAAUUUGCAGACAUACGUACGGCUUUCAGAUGUUGAAGAGAGAGAGAGAGAGAGAGAGAGAGAGAGAGAGAGCGAAUGCGUGUAUGAUUGUUCAUAUAUUUCGAGCAAUCAAGUCAGCAACAAAGAUUGGAGUUUUCUCUCUUCUACUGUCUAUCUUCCUUUAUCUGCAAUCAUCAGAUACGAAAUUUAUUCCUUUCGAAGAACUUCGCUCUGUUCAACGAGAUCCAUUUUUACCAUUCUCGUGUCAACUCAUCCAUCUAUUCCGAUCGUCAAAGUCUAUCUGAGUAGUUAAUUGCGAUUUUACAUUUUAAUACUUGUUAGGGCAGCUCGAUAUACAUGAAUUAUCGUGAUCGUUCGACUAAAACCAGUCCGAACGCAGCGAGGACAACUAUGAAAACGUUUCUAAUUACCCUCUAUCCAACAACCUAUACUCCUUGAUGCAUUUGGGGGUAUAGUCAUUAAACUGGAAUCCUAAAAGUUGCUACGUUCAACCAUUCAAUUGAGAGUAAUUUAGAUUGUUGUUCCUCGUAAAUAGAUUGGAGUGUAGCGAAUUACUGGCCUCCCAUUAAUAAGCCUAUCCUGCUGGCCAUUCCAAAAGAAUGAAGAGGCACUCAGCUUNNNNNNNNNNNNNNNNNNNNNNNNNAAUAAAAUAUUCCGGCAAAAAUUAUUUCGUUAUGGCGAAAAUACGGAAGAUAACAUUCGUUAUUCCCGCUUAUACGCCAACCAAACGAGGCUAGAAAAUGUUCACGGAAUAGAUUAGUUUUCAUCCAGUAUAUGUGACGUGAGAGGAUUGCACAGAUUAAUGGUCAAAUCGGGAAACUAUACAGAAAUAUAUAAUGUAAUUGGUCCCAUUGAACGCAUUGGUCCCACUGGCGGGUGGCCCAAAUCUUACAGCAAGCGUGGCGUGGCGUCGGGCGUCCGGGGAUGUGCUUCGGGAAAUUGACCAUUUAGUUUGGCAUUAAAGAAUGAUAAGGUUGGAAUUAAAAUGCCGUGCCGGGACGUAUGAGGGGGUACUUAUCCGUAGUAGAAAUUGGAAAUAAUACGCGUGAUUAAUUUGUAAACUUUUUAAUAGCCGAAUUACGGCCACUAAAGUGAUUUUGUCCAAAAGGUGUACUGUUACGAAAAAAAAAAAGCGUUUUGUAUCCUCCAAAUAAUUAUCAGUGAAAUAUUCGCCGAUUCCGGCGAAAUUCGCUCAAAAUUCGGCGGCCGAGCCAGGCGACGCUCGUCGUUGUCGUCCUCCUCGCCGCGCCCUGGCCCGGCGCCGGAGGCAAGAGGUGCGGCCUACGGUCCUGCCUCACGCCGCGCCAUCUGUUUCGCCCAAAAAACGCCUGGGCGAGUCGGCACGCUCGUCGUUCGUCCGUCCUCCUCCGCUCCGCCCUGGCCCGAUGCGUGGGAGCAGCAAGAGGGCCGCAGUCAGUCCCAUUCUCGCCCCGCCGUCUGCGGCUCUCGUGCGCAGCGUGGCCGCCAGAAAAAAAAAAUGAAUAGAAAAAUCACGGUGUUGGCGCGCUCGCAGGAAAGACCAUGCGCGGUCAAGAGGCCAAUCGGACGGAUGGAGGGAGGGUCCAUGGACCUCGCUUCAUAUAAUAUAUAUAUAUAUAUAUAUAUAUAUAAUUUAAUAUAUAUAUAAUUGUAUUUAUUAAUAUUUUUAAUAAAUUAUUAGUAAUAUAUAUAUCAUAAUUUUAAUAUAAUAAUAUAAAAUUAUAAUAAUAAUAUAUAUAAUAGUAUAUUUAAUUAUUAGAUAUUUAUGUUAUUAUAUAGCCGAAUUUUUUAUUCCGAAUUUUUAAUGGAUAAACGUAUAUUACCCGUAUAAAUCACGUAUCCGAAUAAUUACCGAAUCCGUUUUUUAGUCGUAUUUUUCAACGAAUUUAAAAAUUAGAAGACGAAUUUUAUCGAAAUUAUAUCCGUACCGAAUUUUUGCCGAAUCCGAAUUAACUAACUAUGGUACUUACUCGACCCGAGAUGUCACCGCCCUCUUAACUAACUAUGGUACUUACUCGACCAGAGAUGUCACCGUCCUCCUCGCGUGCGCAUAUUGUUACGACCUAAUUAAGGACCUGGGAGAGGCUCCAUUGCCAUAUAUAUUUCCCUGAGAAUUUUAUUUUGCUUUUGAUCAUUGAUGAGAUCACUCACCAGGUCAAAUCUUGUAUGAAAGUAUGGGGUUUAAAAUAUUCCUUUGGCAUUAUUUAGUUUUUUAAUGCUUUUAAUUAGGGCUCUUUUGAUUGAUGUUGCCUUUUUUUAAAAAAUUAUUUUAAACACUAAUUAUACAUAGUUAAAAAAUUAACAUAAAGAUUCGUUAACUUGCAAUGAAUUCUAACUAAAUAAUGAGUAAUAAUUUAUUGAAAAAAUUAUUAAAAAUAAAAAAUAUUUUUAUUUUUUGUUUUUUAUGUCAAAGUAUCAAACAAAUACUUUGUAUGUAAGAAUUGCGUGCAAUUUGUCAUCCCUUCUCACAUAAAUUAUAUGUAGAAUUUAUAUUUUGAAAAAAUUAAAGAAAUAGUAGCGACGUCUAACGAGGCGUUAAAAUUUUGUUAAUGCACGUGAUUCGAUGAAAUGUUUCAGGCGUAUGCCUCACAUGAAAUAUCUGUUGCGGAGAAAACCUUCUUCCUCUGCGGCAUGCAACUAAAGCAUGGGUACACGAAGAGAACCAAAAAAAAAAAAAAAAAAAAAAAAAAGGAAAAGAAAAAGAUAAAGACCACGAGUCAUCAAACAAAGAUCUUAAAUGGGCGGGCCCGGCCCGACCUUCAUUCUCUUUUGAAACCCCGCUAUAGACAUGCAUCCGGCCGCAUAAAGAAGUGCGUAAAAUCAAAAUGGGCGCCGCGGGCAGAGUCUUGCAUCUUAACCCUUCCUGUUUCUCUAAAUCGUCGCAAUCCGACAACGUCACAACCCUUUCACCGGCGCGGCGCCACCCUACCGCGCCACGCGCCCUCGUUCACAUCAGUAUAAAAAUUCAAAGCAUACAAAAUUAAAAUUUUGGGUUUACAUACUAGUUUAGAUAUCACAAAUUAUUAUUCUUUUGAUUUCGAUAUUAAGAGCGUAGAGGGGGAAUUAACUCUGUGUGUGCAAAGAUAUAUUUAUGUAUAUCUUUGUUUUGAUGAUACGAACCCGCUAUUCAAUCAAUUCACAGAUUUGCAGCUUACCAGGUAGAAACCUUGCUUGUUGAUCAUCAUUGGACGCUCUUCAAAUUGGUGUCAUAUAAAAAAGAGUAAGUUAAGUACUAUAUAUCAUGUAUUAUAUUUAGCGCGUUUGGGGACAAUUCAACAAAUACUCUUAGUAAGAGCGCUAAAAUUAGAGUUAAGUGGCUUUCCAGAGAGAUCACUUGUAUAAUAUUAUAGUUAGAAGCUGCUUGAAUUAGCAUGUCGAAAUUACUUUCUUGUAUUAAUAUGAUAUAGUAAAUAAGUUAGUGUUUUGGUUCGGACGGAAGCAAAGGAGAGAAUAACCUUGUUCCCCCCUUGUGUUCCCAAUCGCAGCGUUAGGUACGAGAACAGUAGUUUUCGAGAUUUUGAACUAGCUGCGGUAUAAGCACUGAACUAUGGAAUUGUUGUUCUUACCUUUUUCCUGGACAAGCUUUGUCGCGAUUGAGAACAAGAUUAUUUAAAUAUAAAUUAAAAUUUUAAUGAUAGUAAACUAUUAUUAAUCAAUUAUUAAUUUGAACUUAUUAUCUAUGCUAAAUAAUAAUAAAUAAAUAACUAAUGAAUUAUAAUUAAUUAUUUAUAAUUAGAUAAUAAUAAUUAUUAAUUUAAUAAUUUAUUUAAAUAAUUAUUAAUUAAAUAAUAUUUAUUAUUAAUUAUAUCUUAGAAAUAAGUUAAUGAUUAUUAUUAUUAAUUUUCUAUAUUAUUUAAAUUAAUAAUAAAAUAAAAGAUUAUUCUAGAUGAUAUUAGAUAAUCGAUAUUAUUGUAAUUAUUAUUAAAUAAUAAUAAUUAAUAAUUAUUAAUUAUUUAUUAAUAAUGUUUUAUAAUUAAUUAUUAUAAUAAUAAUUAUUUUUAUUAAUCUAUUUUAUAAUAAUAUUAAAGUGAUUAAUAAUUAAUUAAUUAAUUAAGAUAAUAUUAAUAAUUAAUUAAUUAAUUAAGUAAUAAUUAUUAUAAUUAUUAUAAUAAUGACUUUAUUACUUAUAAAUAAUAUAAAUUAAUAAUAAUAAUUAAUUAAUAUAAUAGUUAUUAUUAGAUUAUUUUAUUUAAUUUUUUUUUAAUUAUUAUUAUUAUUUAUUUAUUAUUUAUUUUUAAGUAAUAUUUUGAUGUUAAUUAAUUAGAUAAUAUAAUGUUAAUUUCAAAUUAUAACUUUUAUUCCUCUUAUUUCAAUUUAACCAUCCAAACGCUAUUUACCUUAUUCCUAGGAACAACUCAAUUUUCAUCCAAACGUAAAAUUGGUCUAGUUCCUGCUUAUACCUGAACUUGUACCUAUCCCUGGAACAAGCAGUUCUUACUUAUACCUGAACCAAACGCAGCCUAAAAGUACGAGCUCAUUAUAAUGAGGGAAUAAGUAAGAUUGUAAAUAUCAUGAGUAAUUUAUUCAUGUCUUUUUACUAUAGCUUCUGUUUUUCUUUUUAUAUUAAUUUACUAAUGUUUUUCGGAAAUCAUAUUAGGUUGGACCUAACAUUUUCUUGGAUAAAUGGAGAUGGCCUCAAAUAAUCCUCAUCGUACUCAGUUUCCUGUUACAGAGAAGUCGAUAUCCUUAGAUAUCAAGGUCUCUUUCUCUCUCUCCCGAACUAACUUUUAGUAUAAUUGGACUUACGAUGUGUUUAACAUAGUGUAACCUUAUAUAACCUUGUAUCUACAACCGAUUGGCAUGGUAUGUGCCUAACAGCACCAGAUUUGGCAUGAUUCAUUCAUAUAUGAUCAUGAUGUACUUUUAUUUUUGACAUAUUGAUGGGUUUAACGAACACGUAACGGAUUGCAUGAUUUUUUCUUGGUUUAAGUCAUUGAUGAAAACAUGCUUGAAGUGUUUAUUUGUCAUCUUAUUCUACCGGGCCAUGUGGUUUAAGAGUAUCGGGCUAAAAUAAGCAGUUAUUGUGACCAAUUGAUUCCGGUGACGUAGCAGACUGGUUACAGAUUAUGACUGUCAAUGAUAUACACUCCAACUAUAGCUACUGAGUGUGUUUAUUGAAUAGCCUAAGUUCAUUAUUAUGCAUAUUUUUAUUCCAAGCUAGCAUAUUAGUGUAACGCCCCAAUAGUCCCACAUCGGAUGGGAUGCUGAUUCCGAUUACUUAAUAUAAGCCCUACACGCUAGUAAUAAUAAAUGGGCUUAAGUAUUUUGGACUGGUUGUUUGGGCCCAACAAGUUAUUACUGCUGGCAGGUUGGGUUGUUACAUUUGGUAUCAAAGCCGAAUACCAGCCGGAAGUGUGAGAGUUAAGUGCUAUGCGGGACAAAGUACUACACCAACGGGUUUGGUGGGAGCCACCUCUUGAACCCGUAGAAGCCACCUCUAGAAUCUCACAUUGUCUGGCAAUUCUGUUCCUAUUCUGUUUGUAUGUCUGUGAUCUGGUUUGGACCCGACGUGGACGUCAGGGUCUAAACAGGGGGAGUUUGUAACGCUCCAAUAGUCCCACAUCGGAUGGGAUACUGAUUCCACGUCGGGUCCAAAUAGGGAGAGUUUGUGACGCUCGAAUAGUCCCACAUCGGAUGGGAUACUGAUUCCGAUCAGUUUAUAUGAGACCUACACGCUAGUAAUAAUAACUGGGCUUAAGCAUUUUGGGCCGAUGGUUUGGGCCCAACGAGUUAUUAUUGCUAGCGGGCCGGGUCGUUACAUUUGGUAUUAGAGCCGAAUACCAGCCGGAAGUGUGAGAGCUAAGUGUUAUGCGGGACAAACUGCUACACUAACGGAUUUGGUGGGAACCACCUCUUGAACCCAUAGGAGCCACCUCUAGAAUCUCACAUCGCCUGAUAAUUCUGGUUCUGGUCUGUCUGUGACCUGGUUUGGACUCGACGAGUACGUCAGGGUCUAAACAGGGGGGUUUGUAACGCCCCAAUAGUUCCACAUCGGAUGAGAUACUGAUUCCGAUUAGUUUAUAUGAGGCCUACACGCUAGUAAUAAUAACUGAGGUUAAGCAUUUUGGGCUGAUGGUUUGGGCCCAACGAGUUAUUAUUGCUGGCGGGUCGGAUCGCUACAAUUAGUGUAUUGCGGAAUGUUAUCUCAGCUCGCUUGGCAUUUCCUACUAUGCCCUGUGCUUCCUUCAUCCGACUUUGUAGCGUCCUUCCUGUCCGAAUUGCUGAUAGCAUAACCAUUCCGCUUCUUAGCAAAUUUUUCUAUUUAAAAUUUUUGCGUAUUUUAGCCUGAAUUGUUGUUACAUCCUUUCCCUACAAUCAAACAAGGACAAAGCAUGCACCAAUUUGAGCCUAGGGCUGUGGAGAUGUUAGUGUGAUGGAAAGUAUAUAUAAACUUUUGUGCAUGCAAGGCGACAUGAGAAUCUCUUCAUGGCAUUAUGUGUUUGGCAUUGUAGGGAACUAAGAUAGACAUCAUAAUCAGCAAGUAUACAGAUAGUUUUCUGGUGAGUUGUAUCUCAUACUUCAGCACUAUAGCUUUUACUACUGACAUGUUUACAUGAAAAUGUUCUUUCAGGUCAUGGCGACUCAAAUAGGAUCUAUGGGUACCGGUAUUAGGUUUUCCCCCUUUUCAUAUAAAUUUCAUGCUGAAAUUGGUUGUAACUGGAUUUGUCUAUACCUAUCAAAGCCCACACAAGAACUUCGAGACUCCUUCCGGUUCAAAAGCUAUUUGUUGAUUAGCAGGAUAUAUGAGGUACGUUUCCUUUCCAAAUUGUCUAAUUUCAUUUGUUGCUCGAUCGAACUCAAUAUAUCAAUUCACUUUUAAUUGUAUGCCUUAAGUUCCACCCUAGUACGUAGACAAGAGGCUAGUGACUAGUUCAUCGAAUAUGGUUUAUUUACUAGUCAUUACGAUAUAUGAUCUCUCUGUUUAACCGCCGAUGUUAGCAUCUACUUAUGUGAAUGCUUGUUGGGUUAUGAUCAGCUUAUUGUUGUUCUUUUCUGUAGAGAGAUCCGAACAAACCGAAGGGAAAGCGUAGCGUCAAUCAAGAUGAACCUGUUAUUUAUAUAAAGGCAGAAGAUGAAGUAUUUCAUGAGGUAUAUAUUGAAUAUAUACUAUCUUGGAUAUAUACUAUCUUGUAUAUAUAUACUGGACAUAUACUAUCUUGAAUAUAUGCUAUCUGCUAUUUGAUUAUUUUUAAGCUAUUUAUAGUACCCUUCUCAUUUCAGCUCAGCACGUGGUCUUUUACUUUUCCUGUGCAUGCCGAGCAGUUGGUUCCAGACAACGUAAGUUGCAUGUAGUUAUUUAAAGUUAUGCCAUACUUGCUCUUUGUCUUUAUUAUCCAGCCUGUUUUUAUGUUCUUUUUUCUUUAUUAACCAGAUUGAUAAUAUUGAACAUUUAAAAUUUUGAACUUUUGGUCCAUUAUGGAUGGUUUUCACACUUGUCUAAGCAUACUGUGUGUAAGUUGAUCUUUAUUCCGGAAUGUGAAUGGAAGCAAAUGUGAGGUGGAAACACAGAAGGCCUUUGCGCUUCUAAGAGCACCUUAGCAUAGCCCUUGAUAGCAUUGGUAUCCCACUUCUAUCACUUUUUCACCUGUUCGAUGCUUCGCCAUGAUUCACGCAGGUGUGCUUCAUGAUGCAUGCUGUGUUGUGCCUAUCAUGAUUCCCAUCUGUCACUCAUGUAAUUUGUGAUGCAUGUCCAACAGGUGAAAAGGUGAUAGCUUGGUCGUUGUGUUUUAGCUUGUAGGGAAGAGACAUCCUUCUUUAAAGUAAGAAGUGAGCUAACAUUGAAAAAGCCAAACAAGAAGUUUGUAGUUGCUUAAACAAGCUUUUGUAGUUGCCUAAAUGAUAAAUUGUGGAAUUUAUGCUGAAAAGGGAUCAUAUUCACGUCCUGUAAAAUGUAAUUUUCGGCUAUAGAACUAUUGUCCGUUGCUUUUUAUAUUUAUUUCUAUGCUAGAUGCACUUUAUGCCAGAUUGAGCUAAUCUGCUUUCCAAUUUUUAUAAAGGAUCUUUUUGGCAAGAUAUGCAAGUUAUUAUUUGUCAUCAAAAUGCUAGAUUAAUAUUCUAAGGUUGACUUGUUAUUUGUCAUACGUAUUGAAACUUCUUUACAUAUAUUAAGAGAAGUUGUUACUCACAGAAUUUCCAUUCUGAAUAAAAAGUGCUGCGGAGAUUGUAGCAGUCUGUUUUUAUUAUGGUAUUCGAAUAGAUUGCUGCGCCUGCUACUUAACUUUAUUGAUCUGCAUUGAGGAUGCUUUAUACUUGCUGCCAUUUUUUUCCCUUGCACUUGUGAUUAAUUUUUUAUUCUCAAGAAGUUCAAGAAAGCACUGCAGUUAAAUAUGCUGUAUUUGAUAUAUUUCCAGUUCAUUUAUUUGUAUGCUUGAAUAGUGAUCUUAUCUUUGAUUUCAAUUUGCAUCAAUACUGGUACUCAUAUUUCUGUUUUCUGCAGUUGAAGAACUAUAGGCAGAUGGGUCAAGUUCUGGUUGUUAAAGCUGACGAUGUUCCCAAGUUUCGAGAAAAGUUAAAAUCUUUAGUAGCUGCUGAAUCAUGAUGCCUUCAGCAUGAUAAUUUUGGUGUGAAAUAGUUGUUUUAUAGUUCUGAGGGCUAGCUGUUGCCACUUUAUUUGUAGUUGAAAUAUCAAAUCUCAUUUCAUUGUUGCAUUUUGUGCAGCAAACAUAAUUUUCAAGGUGAAGUUUCCUUUUCAAUUGGUUGGCAAGGACAGGAGCUAAAAUUUGUGUGUGUAAUAUCCCUGGACAAGGUAAGUAUUUUGUAGAUUGUCCAAAGAUAGGUGGUGGGACGCAAAAUACUUUUGGCAUUUCAUUCCCUUCCUUUUUGUUUUUGUAGUUGCAGGAUGUGCAAAUCUAUUUUACUUGUAGUUUUAGAGGCUAAACAGAAAAAUGUGCAUGAGCAUUGUAGAUUGAUCGUGCCCUUCGUUAUAAUCACAACAUUUAGGGGAGUUGCUAGUCAUUACAUUGUCUAUUAGGGCUAUUCUGCAAAUAAUUUGCUAUCAUUUUGUAUCAACAAAAUGCUAAUGGUACAUCUUUUUCUAAUUUCCAGUAUCUAUUCUUUCGAAUGAGUGAUCUUUUUGCAAGUUCAGAUGCACUAGAAUUCUCAAGAAUAACCGAGUAUGUUUUAUCAUUGUUAUUGUACUCUAUAUUGAGUAGCGAGUACAUUCCUUGUUAGAGCAUGCGGCCUUUUUUCUAUUGUGAUAUCUUGCUGAAUUCUCUUAUUAGGCGUAGUUUAGAUAUCAGAGUAAGAUAUUUAAUGAUAUCUUAUUCCGUAUGAGAAUUUUCUAUUAUCACUGAAAGCUAGGAGUGUUAUUGUGUAGAAUCGAAUAUAGUAUAUUCGACCUUCAAAUAAUUUUUUUGACAUAAGAUAAAUUAUCUUGUAAAUGAAGUAUAUUAUGCUACCAUAUUGUGGAUGUCAAGAAUUUUUAAGAAGUCGGAUAGAUGGUGUGGGGAUAAGACACUUCAGAGGUCCUUUCCGGAGGUGUAUGAGCGGAGCGAUAGCAAAACUAGGCAGGUUAAGGAGUGCGUUGAAAGAGAGGAGUGGAAUUGGAAUAGGAUUCUGGGGGAUGAGGCUCUGGGUGUGCCCGGCCUGAGCCCCUCUAUCUCGGAGCUCAAAGCGAGUGUUAGCAGGUUUCAAAUAGGGCACAGGUUGGACACGAUAGGGUGGAGAUGGGGGAGCAGCAGUUCUUUCUCAGUUAAAUCGACCUAUAGAAUGCUAAAUGAUGGGGGUACGGUGGACGGACGUGUCAACAAGAUAUGGAGGCUCCGAAUACCACUUAAGGUCAAAGUAUUCUGUUGGCUAGUUCUUAAGAAAAGAACUCCUACAGCUGAGAUCCUUGUUAAGAGAGGAUGGACUGGGGACAUGGCCUGUGUAUUGUGCAGGAUACAUGCCGAGUCAGUGGACCAUCUAUUCACCUAAUGCAUCUUCCUUAAGUUUUUUAUGGUAAUAGGCCUUGAGGACGUCCAGGCGGGGGAUUUGGGUGACGAUGUGCACGUAGUCUGGAAUAGGUGGAAGGGGGGGAACGGGGGGGCAGAAUAGAAAAAAGGGACUAGCCGAGUUAGCUGCAUGCUGAUGAAGCAUCUGGAAGGUCAGGAACAACCUUAUCUUUCGUGACAUUCUGCUGGAUUCCGUGCUAGAGGUGCAAAGGCUCAAGCAGCUUAUCAUUUCUUGGAAAGAUCUCUUAUGAUUUUUUUUUUUUCCUUGUACGUUCAGGUGUUUUUCUCGUGUUUUCCGAAGCCCUGGCUGCCUCAUCCUUGUAGUCUAAUUCAUACUUUUAAUGAAUGAAGCAAGUAGCGUGCUACCUAUUCUCUCUAAAAAAAAAAAGAAAAAACUAGGCCUUUGCCUUCUAUUUAUAUAAGAAAAUUUUUAUACCGAAUAAAUUAUUAUAAGAUAACUUAUUUUGCCAUUCAAAUAAGUUCUUAUUGUCUAACUUGUUUUUGUUCGGAUCACGGGCUUGUAUUGUAGUUAUGAAUUUAAAUGAACUAUAAACUUGAUGGUCACUCAAUCAAGAACCUUCUAGGCUUCUAUAUCGAAUGAGUGUGAGAUUUUGGAUAUGAAUGGGAAGUCGAUUAGUUUAAUAAUUUGCAGACUUACGUAGGCUUUCAAGAUGUUGAGAGAGAGAGAGAGAGAGAGAGAGAGAGAGAGAGAGAGUGAAUGCGUGUAUGUAUUUGUCAUUAUAUUUUCGAGCAAUCAAGCAGCACAAGAAGAGUUGGUUUUUCUCUCUUUCUACUUGUUUCUAUCUUCCUUUUAUUCUGCAAUCAUCAGAUAGAAAAUUUAUUCCCCUUUCGGUAGGACUUUCGCUCUGUUCAAACUGAGAUCCAUUUUUAGGGUUCUCGUGUCAAGUCAUCCAUCUAUUCCUGAUGUCAAAGUUUUCUGAUUUGAGUAGUUAAGUUGGAUUUGAGUUUUAAAUACUUGGUUAGGCAGCUGGGAGCUUCAGUUGGAAUUUAUGUGAUCAGUUCGACCUAACACCGAGUCGAAGCAGCAGCCGAGGGACAACUUAUGGAAACGUUUCUAAUUACCUCUAGUCAACAAGCUAUAUCCUUGAUGGCAGUUGGGGUAUAGUCAUUUAAACUGUGUGAAUCCUAAAGUUGCUACGUUCACCAUUUCAUUGAGUAAUUAGAUUGGUUGUUCCCGUAAAUAGAUUGCAGUGUAGCUGAAUUACUGGCGCUCCCAUUAAUAAGCUAUCCUGCUGGCCCAUUCCAAAAGAAUGAAUGAGGCAGUCAGGCUUCUGGAGGAAGCUUAUUAAUUUGAUAAAAAAGCCUCUUUUUUUAUGUUUUCGUUUCAUUUUUUUGAGAGAGGUAGCAGACCAUCUUCUUUUUCUUUUUUUGAGAAAUAAAUGGCUAUUUAUUAGUGCAAGCGAAUAAAUAAGUGGAUAAAUACAAGCAAAAAGUUUAGUGGGUAUCGAUGUUCUAAAGAAUCUACUUUUUAAAUAUGAAUCGAGAGUUGGAUGGCAUCCGCAUAAGAAAUUAUAUAGCUCUUUUUAGCUUCCCGGUGGACUCUGAUCAGCUUGAUAAAGUACACAUCUAACUUGCUAGAAAUUUACAGGCCCAUACGGUACUUUUCAUUUUUUAUUGACAAAAAGAUCAGACUGAAUGGGCCGAAAAGGAGAGGAAGCCAAGUGGUGAGUGGAGUGGAGCUGAUAAUAAACUGUUAUGAAACUUUUAAACUGACUAAUCAGAAGCAUUAGUGGUGAAGUCUCCAUGAUUUCAGGAAUUCACUAACGUAACAACUUCACCUAGUACGAUGGGCUGCGCACGACAGAUCGAUAAAGCCCGAUAAAAAUCCUUCACAUGGGUGCAAAUUAUUCAGUUCCCGAUAGGAAUCUCCACAUCUGUUCAAACGAUCCCGUUCCCACGUUUCGGUACUACACGUCUUUACUAUAAAUCUUAUAUCAAAAGGUCCACGAAGAGACAUUAUUUAUCUAUUUUAUAAACCCACAUGCGCACCUUAUUAAUUUAUUGGCUAGCUUCUGAUAGCUCCAAGGACAAGGCAUGCACGCAUAAACAAGAAGAUAAAAUCGUGGCCUAUCAAUAACCCCAAACAUUGACCACCCUGCACACGAUCAGUUAGUCAUGAUAGUUUAAUAGCGUCUAAACUAUGCACACCGCACUAAUCUGACCGUCCCUAGCACAAAUAGCAAAGGAGUUGGUGGUUGAUAUUCAAGACUCAAAUUCGAAUUCUAAUUGAUUCACAUUUUCAGCUAAAUUUAUUUCUAAAUAAAAUAAACGAAGCGAGUAACAUGCUAACUUUCUCAUAAAUAUAUAAAUAUAUAUAUAUAAAUAUUGUGCACACCCGCGAGAGAAAGAGAGGUUGAAAACAAGGAAAAACAGAAAAAAGCUCACCAAUCCAAGCCGUAAUAGUAGCAGUAUAUAACCACACCAAGUAUCCAGUACACGGAGAUCGCCACAGUAGUAGCAGUAGUACAUCACCAACAUGCAUAUACGUACACGCACGGAACGAUACAAUGCAUCCCAUAAAAUAUGCGUGCACUCUACUAGUGCAACUAGUGCUGCUUAUUCUUUACUAAUGCCACUCCUAAUUAAGUAAGAACUGGUGGCGGUGGGGCCUGCACGAAACCUAGCUAGUGGGUGGCAGGGUGGGCCCCAGCGCCCCACGGGUUUAGUUGAGGCCCGGUUGGUGGGGAGGCUUGUCGACGUCCUCGAGGGGGCGGAACCACACCUCCUGGUCCAGCACCGUCGACCCGCCACCAUCCCCCGCCGCCACAGCAGCUGCGUUGCCCGGCCCGUCCUUCGUUCCCGCGGUGGCGGUGGCGGCGGCGGCGGGCCCAAAAACGCCUGUCGUAGGGUGCGGGCCCCAGUACUUUUCCGACUCACAAGUUUCGAUCACAUGGUCCGGCACCACCACCGGGUGCACCAGAUCCUCCUCCACGUUCUUGUCGUACGAUGACGAGUACACUGCCCUCCUGCACAUAAUACUUAAUUUUUAUUAAAAAUAAUUAAAUUCUAAAUAUUUGGACCAAGGGUUAAUGCAAUCUUUCAGCCCUCUUAAGGUUUGUACCAUUAUUAGCAUUUCUCAUCUUAAAAUAAUUUGGACGGACAAAAGAGCAAUGAUACUUCUGUAAUCACUUUUUGAUGAUAACUCUAUAACUCUAAAUUACAAAAAUCCAUAAUUAUUUUACUAGUUUUUAUCAACUUUUUUUUACUACCAAAACAAUAAUAAAAAAUAUAUAUUACCGCCGAUCGUUCCUGGCGCAAGUGACAAAGAAUUUAUUGAUUGGUAUUUGAGAUUUCAAGUUCGAAUUUUAAUGGAUUCAUAUUUUUCGCUAAGUUCAAUAUCCAAAAUUUCAAAUUUAAAUUCUAAUUAAUUCACAUUUCAGCUAAAUUUACUUUUUAAAAAAAUAAACUUAGCGUUAGCAUACUACUUUACAGAGGGAGAGGAAGCUGUUUUGUCCUAUGAGAAAAAUUCUAGAAUGCAACGGGUAUAUUAGUGACGUGACGUAACAAACUAAUCAAAUUAAUCUUUUUAAAAAUAUAUGUUCCAUCAUGAUUAUAAAAAAAUAUUUGUAUUAUACUUUUGUUUAAAAAAAAAAAUAAUUAAUUUGUUAUUGAUAACGUGGUGCAAAUUGUGACAGUGUAGAAUUUCUCGUCCUAUGGGGCCAGCAGGGGCAUUUUCGAAAUAAAUAUUCGUCGGAGAACAUCGGGGCAGGCGCCAAGAACGUGACUGGAACUGGAAAUCGAGAUGGAUAAGAGCAAAUCUCACUCGUACGCGUGGCCUCCGAUGGAGCCGAUGGAGAGACCAAAAUGCCUCCUCGAUAGAGGACGAGAAAGGUUGGUGACUACCAGACGAUCAGGGCCGUUGCUUCUGCCUGUAGGACCGCAAGUACCCAUCUCACGGCUCGCGUCUUAGUCAUCGGUGCGCCUCUUAAACGGAGGGAAAGAAUCGUACGGCAGACAUGGUCCACCUCAAAAAUGCGUGCGGGGUAAUCGAGGGGGCACACAAAUCCACCGUCCAAUCAGCCUCCAAAUGAAAUCAGGAUCGUCAAUUAACGGACGGCACGAUCAAUCACCCGAGAGGUUAAAGCGACGGGGCGUGUUCCCUCUCCGGAUACCUCCUAGUGAACUCCCCCAGUGUUUUUCUUUUCUUUUUUUUUCUUCUGUCGUUUUGUGACUGCUCUCUCUCCAGGGAGUGCGAAAGAAAAGGAAAGAAAAGACGGAAAAGAGUACAAAGAAGGGGAAAACCAGUACGGAGACAAAACAAGGACGAAAAUAUCUCUGAGAAUUAGUAGAGAUGGCAAAAUUAGUGCGGAUAAAGAAACAAAGGACUUUGUGUGGGAAAUAUCAUCGCCACACACUGAAAAAUAAAAAAAAAUAAAGGAAAAGACAGGGAGGGUGGGGGGAGGGGGGGAAGGGGGAGUAAAAGAACUCUACUGGAGAUGUCCUUACAGAGUUGCAUUGCAUCUCUGGUAAAACAGAAUAGAUCCCCUCGAAAUUUCAACUCUAAGAUCCACAAAAGCAAGAGAACCUCAGAAAAAGGAAAACUAAUUGAUAUAUAUCACUGCUUAUAGUUGAUACUUAGACUGUGGAAGCAAUCAUGGUAAUAGCACCGAUCGCUAAAACAAACAUAACAGCUAACACAUCAAGAAGCAAAAAUCACCAAAUAAUUUCACAACAUCAGAUGCUUAAAAAAAAAAUAAAAAAAACCUACAACCAGUUAUACCAGUGCUUAAUUAGCAUAUAUUGAUCCAUGCGACUAAAAGCAACUAAUAUAUUAAUUAGCAGCGAUCAGUAGAGCAAAUCUAAGAAUUAACACACGGAGAGCAGCUAAAAAAAUCGGUUGAUCUCAUGAGAUCAUAACAAAUGCUGAGCAAUUAGGAGGUGUACCUUGAAUCCGACGCGGCAGAAACCGCGAUCGGAGAAGGAUUUCGAGAGGCCCAGAUCUGGUUCACAAAUCGCUUCCCGAAGCUUCCCGCGAUCGCUCGCCCCUUCGAAUUAGCGGCCAUGCAAAAGAAAGGAGUGAAAAUAGCAAAGCGAGAGGGAGAGAGAGAAGGAAAGCAAAAGCGAAAACGAAAAGGAAUGGGAUAGAGAAUGAGCCCUUUUCCAUUGGUAGCAGCCGCUAUUUAUAGCCUCGCCCACACUCGCUCCAACCGCCCACCUACCCGCCCCGUUUACUACGCCGUUAACGUUUUCCGUCCCUUCUAUUGACGGCGCUCCUAACGGCGUUAGCGCGGAGGCAAGCCACGUGAGUGGAGGUGGAGCGAAUAAUUUGGAGCAUAUUCUACACAGUUCGAAGCGUCCCUCCAGAUACUAUUGGUCUCCUGCUAGUGUAUGAAAUUUACCAAAACGCCCCGCGAUGUUUGGUCUCGUCACUGGCACGGUGAUACACUGAUCAUGUAGCUAAACUAAACGACAAAAAUAAACAGUUACAGUUACGGUGAAAUAAGUAUGUCCUAACCUUAAUCUCAGCUUCAAAGCUAUAAAAUAAAUUGGCAUUGUGAAUCUGUGAUUAUUAUUUACUUAUUAUUAUUAAAAACGAUUGAUCUCAGGCUCUUAAACGAGAGUAAGAGAUACCUAUCAACUUUCGCGGCAGCGGGGACAAGCUUUACAAUGUGGUUCAGUAGUCCAAAUGCUAAGUACUCAUAAUGAUAAGUUUAUGCUGCCAUUGGCAUCUAGCACGAGAAAAGUUAUUCAUUCAUUGGAUUAGUAUGCAUUUGUUCUCCAAGGCACGGUCAGAUAAGAGAAGAAUGAGGGGUCACCUCUCACUUUAUAUCCACAAAUCAAGUACUAAGGGUGGGAACACACUGUACGUUCCCACCCUUCCUAAGGGAUAUUUAAAUUAACGAAUUUGUAGAUCUAACGUAACUCAAGUGCAGUUGUGUUUGAAAUUUUUUAAAGGUGAUUAUUUUUUUAUUGUUUAUUUUAAUGUAACUCGUAAAUUUUGAUACUUAAAUUCAAUUACUUUCUUUGUUUAUUUUGAUAUAACUUGGUUUUGAUGAAAUUAGUUUUUUAAAUUUUAUUGUUUAUUUUGAUAUAAGUAAGUGGAUAUAAGUAAUUGAAUUUUGAUAUAAGUAAGUGGAUUUCGUUAUUUCAUAAAUAUAGUGGUAGAUUUAUUGCUAUAAAAUUUAACCUAUUAAAUAAUUAAAAUUUUUAUUAUUAUUUAAAAGUAAUCCUAAUUUAUUAUAAAUAAAGUAAUUCUAACCCAUUAUAAAGGAAGUAGAGUUUAGGUUUUACUAUUUAAUAAAUUUUUUAAAAAAAUUGAGUGUGGCGGAAAUCGAGCUCGGCACUUUAGAAGGAGAAGUCGAGAGUAGGUAAAUUGAAGGUUUAACGUAACUUGAGUUACACUAUAUUUUUAACUUAUACCAAAAUAAAUACCAAAAGUAAUGAAACGUAAGUUUCAUCCCUCCACUUGUACCAAAACAAAUAGCCCUUAAAGUGUAGGGGUGGGAAUAACAGUUCUAACCGCUAUUUUUAUUUUCAAAAUUUAAAAUUUAAAAAAUAUUUUUUAUUUUUUUAUUUUAAAAAUUUAUAAUUUGUAAUUUCAAAAUUUAAUUUUAGAUUAUAAAAUUUACAAGUUAAAAUUUUAAAUUUAAAAACAUAAAUAUAAAAUUUAACAAUUCAAAUUCAAAUAUAAUAAAAGGUUAAUAUCAUUAUUUUUUAUUUAUAACUAUUCACAAUUUUUUUUAUUUCAUCUUCUCUAUCCAAAUACUAUUUUUCUUAUUCUCAGAAACAACCUAAUUUUUAUUCAAACACAAAAUUAGUUUAAUUCUUAUUUAUACAUGUAUUUAAUUAUACCUAUCUUUGAAAUAAGCAAUUUUUACUUAUUCUCAAAUGGAACAACGCCCAAUUGUAUUAUUUGUUGGUUUUAGACUAAAUAUGUGAGUGUGGUAUUAGAAAAAUUGAAAAUUUUAAGUUGAUUUUCUUUGUUCCAAAAAACGGAAGAGUUUAUUUGGAGUGUUUUAACUUUAGAAACUUCUUUUUGUACUGUUGUAAUGGAAUCCUCCUAUCUUUUUGUAUUAUUGAAAAGUCUUUUCAGAAUGACUAUUGCCAAAAAUAGAGGAAUAUAUACUAAAGUGAUACUCGACAUUGCGUGAGGAAAUUAAGACCAAUGACUAGUUGUUUGCUUUGUCCAGCUUGCAACGGUAUAAUUUCUUCAUCUUUCUAAGUUAACUGUAGAGAUAUACAUUUUCUUUAGAUAUGUGCUACAUCCAUGCUCAAAUUUGUGUAAUUCAUUUGAAAUUGUAUAUAAUAUUCGACUGCAAUUAUUAUUGUGUCAUCAAUUACUACUAGAAUCAAGACUAGCAGCUUUGAAUAGAAUUGUUAGAGGGAGUCCUAAUAAUUUAUUCUUUAAGCAUGCUUCUAUUUGAGCUACAUUCCUGAACUUUUAAAAACGGAAAACUGCGACCAUCUCUUUUGUAACUGCAUCUUCUUCAGAUUCCUACUACUCUGUAUCGAUGAACUGGAGACACCUGAGCACACCACGAGUGAUGUCCGAAAUCUCUAGAUCGGAGCUUCAGCCAACCCCAUCAAGUCGAAGAGGUCAGUUUGCUUGACCCUUCUGGCAGCGAUCUGGUGGGUGGUCUGGAGGGAUAGAAAUCACUCUAUCUUUCGUGGAUCGGUACCCAACGCUUCUCGUUCGCUAGAGUGUGUCAAACUACUCAUGAGUAGCUGGUCAGCCGUGCUGUAAAGUGCUCCUUACUUUCUUUUCUUAUUUUCUUUAUUUCUUUUCUUUCCCUGCCUCCGCCCUUAUCUUUUGCUUGUCACCCCCCCUCCAUUUUUUUGCCUGUAUCUCGGAAGUCUUAGCUACUUCCAACAUGUACGCUCAGUUCAUUUAACUUAAUGAAUGAAGCAGGUAACUUGCUACCUAUUUCUCAAAAAAAAAAAAAAAAGCUGUAUUUUCUGAAUUAUCGUACUGCUGUAAAAUAACAAAGGAAAAAUUAUGUUAUACUUAGUUCUAGAAGUAUUUUUUAUAUUUUCCCCCAGCUUCUUUUUCUUUGGUUUUUUCUGAAAAAAAAUCCACCUAUAAGGUCCUUUUCUAAAUUAUGUCAGCACUUUCCAGAAAAAUCAAGAGUCCGUGCCAAGAGAAUUUGUUGGAAAAAGAAUUAAAUAAUUACUCACGAAAAUAUAAAUUUUUUUUUUGAGAUGUAGGUAGCACGCUACCCGCUUAAUUUAUUUCAUUUAGAAAUAAAUUUAGUUCGAAAUGUGAAUCAAUUAGAAUUCGAACUUGAGUCUCAGGUAUCAACUAUCAAAUUCUUUGCCGCUUGCUCUAGAAACGAUCGGUCUCACAAAAAUAUAAUUAUUAUCUUCUUUAAAAUAAGUUGUUC